GACGAACGCUGGCGGCGUGCCUAAUACAUGCAAGUAGAACGCUGAAGGAGGAGCUUACUUCUCUGGAUGAGUUGCGAACGGGUGAGUAACGCGUAGGUAACCUGCCUGGUAGCGGGGGAUAACUAUUGGAAACGAUAGCUAAUACCGCAUAAGAGUAGAUGUUGCAUGACAUUUACUUAAAAGGUGCAAUUGCACCACUACCAGAUGGACCUGGGUUGUAUUGGCUAGUUGGUGGGGUAACGGCUUACCAAGGCGACGAUACAUAGCCGACCUGAGAGGGUGAUCGGCCACACUGGGACUGAGACACGGCCCAGACUCCUACGGGAGGCAGCAGUAGGGAAUCUUCGGCAAUGGACGGAAGUCUGACCGAGCAACGCCGCGUGAGUGAAGAAGGUUUUCGGAUCGUAAAGCUCUGUUGUAAGAGAAGAACGAGUGUGAGAGUGGAAAGUUCACACUGUGACGGUAUCUUACCAGAAAGGGACGGCUAACUACGUGCCAGCAGCCGCCGUAA
Molecule: ribosomal RNA, 511 nt
Filed under: uncultured bacterium
Lineage: Bacteria
Description: partial 16S ribosomal RNA
Rfam family: Bacterial small subunit ribosomal RNA
Source: RNAcentral